AGUGAACGCUGGCGGUAGGCCUAACACAUGCAAGUCGAACGGCAGCACAGUAAGAGCUUGCUCUUACGGGUGGCGAGUGGCGGACGGGUGACGAAUACAUCGGAAUCUACUUUUUCGUGGGGGAUAACGUAGGGAAACUUACGCUAAUACCGCAUACGACCUACGGGUGAAAGCAGGGGAUCUUCGGACCUUGCGCGAUUGAAUGAGCCGAUGUCGGAUUAGCUAGUUGGCGGGGUAAAGGCCCACCAAGGCGACGAUCCGUAGCUGGUCUGAGAGGAUGAUCAGCCACACUGGAACUGAGACACGGUCCAGACUCCGACGGGAGGCAGCAGUGGGGAAUAUUGGACAAGGGGCGCAAGCCUGAUCCAGCCAUACCGCGUGGGUGAAGAAGGCCUUCGGGUUGUAAAGCCCUUUUGUUGGGAAAGAAAAGCAGCAGGUUAAUACCCCGCUGUUCUGACGGUACCCAAAGAAUAAGCACCGGCUAACUUCGU
RNAcentral lists this ribosomal RNA (491 nucleotides) under uncultured bacterium. Its description in RNAcentral is "partial 16S ribosomal RNA". It matches the Rfam family "Bacterial small subunit ribosomal RNA", at positions 29 to 506 of the family's 1533-position model. The record is from RNAcentral.